RNAcentral lists this small RNA (568 nucleotides) under Pan troglodytes (chimpanzee). RNAcentral's name for it is "retained intron". The record is from RNAcentral. Lineage: Eukaryota; Metazoa; Chordata; Mammalia; Primates; Hominidae.
CAUCCCUGAGGCACUUAGAGAAAAGCUCAGGUAGGAUAUGCCCCGUGGUGGGAGGGGCUUGGCCCGAGCUGGGAGGCUGGGUCUGGACUGUCCUGGGCACCCACUGAGCGCAUCUCUCACCCCUGAGAGAGGAUCAGGAGAAGAGGCCUUGGGACCAUGAGCCCGUGAAGCCAAAGCCCUUGACCUACUGGAAGGGUGAGUUCCUGGGAGGGAGAAGGCAGGAGCCUGGAGGGUCUGGGGGCUGCCAGCUACUGCUCUGCCUGCCCUUAGGGGAUGCUCAGCCCCCUCUGCUCUGUCUUUCCCCUGGCAGAUGUCCUUCUGCUGGAGGGUGUGACCUUGACCCAGGAUUCCAGGCAGCUGAAUGGGUCGGAGCGGGCGGUGUUGGAUGGGCUGCUCACCCCAGCCGAGUGUGGGGUGCUGCUGCAGCUGGCUAAGGUACUCGGGAGGCUGAGGCAGGAGAAGUGCCUGAACCCGGGAGGCGGAGGUUGUGGUGAGCUGAUAUCGUGCCAUUGCACUCCAGCGUGGGCAACAAGAGCGAAACUCCAUCUCAAAAAAAAAAAAAAAAAAG